RNAcentral lists this ribosomal RNA (496 nucleotides) under uncultured bacterium. RNAcentral describes it as "partial 16S ribosomal RNA". It matches the Rfam family "Bacterial small subunit ribosomal RNA", at positions 28 to 508 of the family's 1533-position model. The record is from RNAcentral.
GACGAACGCUGGCGGCGUGCCUAACACAUGCAAGUCGAACGCUGAAGAAGGAGAUUGCUCCUCCGGAUGAGUUGCGAUCGGGUGAGUAACGCGUAGGUAACCUGCCUGGUAACGGAGGUUCACUAUUGGAAACGAUAGCUAAUACCGCCUGACAACAGUUAUUGCAUGAUUUCUGUCGAAACAUUUCGCCUGCUCCACUACUACAUCGGCCUGCGUUGUAUUAGCUAGUUGUUGAGGUAACGGCCCACCAACGCGACGCUAAAUUGACGGCCUGAGAGGGUGAAGGUGCACACUGGGACUGAGACACGGCCCAGACACCCACGGGAGGAAGCACUAGGGAAACUUCGGCGAUAGACGGAAGUGGGGCAGAGUAACGCCGCGUGAGUGAAGAAGGUUUUCGGAGCGUAAAGAUCUGUUGUAAGAGAAGAACGGGUGUGAGAGUGGAAAGGGCACGCUGUGACGGGAUCUUAACAGAAAGGGACGGGUAAAUAAGUGC